CGCUCAGCAGCUUGCUCUCGACAUGCAGCUCGCAUAUCUCAUCCUCACCGUCUUCCUGGGACAGCUCCUGGGCACCACAGGGCAGGACACGGUCACCCAGGAAGAUGGACCAGUCUUGGUGAAGCAGGGACACCCCUUCUACACCACCUGCAAAUACCACACCAGUACUUUUAAUGCCUUGCUGUGGUACCAGCUGAGGAAAGGCCAAGCCCCAGAGCUGAUCUCCUAUCAAGCAGGGUCUGGCCCCAAGCGCAGCGGCCGUUUCACCACACAGCUGAACACCACGGGCAAAUCCAGCGUCCUGCAGCUGGAGGAAGUGGAGCUCUCUGACUCUGCCUUGUACCUCUGUGCUGUGCAAGACACCCUGGUGCAGGGAGCUUCCUCAGCUGUGCAACAACCCAGUGCAGGGAGG
Molecule: non-coding RNA, 412 nt
Organism: Zonotrichia albicollis (white-throated sparrow)
Lineage: Eukaryota; Metazoa; Chordata; Aves; Passeriformes; Passerellidae
Source: the annotation of a RefSeq genome assembly